Molecule: ribosomal RNA, 243 nt
Filed under: uncultured bacterium
Lineage: Bacteria
Description: partial 16S ribosomal RNA
Rfam family: Bacterial small subunit ribosomal RNA
Source: RNAcentral
UACGUAGGGUGCAAGCGUUAAUCGGAAUACUGGGCGUAAAGCGUGCGCAGGCGGUUAUGUAAGACAGUUGUGAAAUCCCCGGGCUCAACCUGGGAAUUGCAUCUGUGACUGCAUAGCUAGAGUACGGUAGAGGGGGGAUGGAAUUCCGCGUGUAGCAGUGAAAUGCGUAGAUAUGCGGAGGAACACCGAUGGCGAAGGCAAUCCCCUGGACCUGUACUGACGCUCAUGCACGAAAGCGUGGGG